GAAGCUGGAAUUGCUAGUAAUGGCAGGUCAGCAUACUGCCGUGAAUACGUUCCCGGGCCCUUGUACACACCGCCCGUCACACCAUGAGAGUUGGGAAUACCCGAAGCCUGUGAGCUAACUUAUAGAGGCAGCAGUCGAAGGUAGAAUCAAUGAUUGGGGUGAAGUCGUAACAAGGUAGC
Molecule: ribosomal RNA, 179 nt
Filed under: uncultured bacterium
Lineage: Bacteria
Description: partial 16S ribosomal RNA
Rfam family: Bacterial small subunit ribosomal RNA
Source: RNAcentral